AUUGAACGCUGGCGGAAUGCUUUACACAUGCAAGUCGAACGGUAGAGGGGGCAACCCCUAGAGAGUGGCGAACGGGUGAGUAAUAUAUCGGAACGUGCCCAGUCGUGGGGGAUAACGUAGCGAAAGUUACGCUAAUACCGCAUACGAUCUACGGAUGAAAGCGGGGGAUCGCAAGACCCCGCGCGAUUGGAGCGGCCGAUAUCAGAUUAGGUAGUUGGUGGGGUAAAGGCUCACCAAGCCAACGAUCUGUAGCUGGUCGGAGAGGACGACCAGCCACACUGGAACUGAGACACGGUCCAGACUCCUACGGGAGGCAGCAGCGGGGAAUUUUGGACAAUGGACGCAAGUCUGAUCCAGCCAUUCCGCGUGCAGGAUGAAGGCCCUCGGGUUGUAAACUGCUUUUGUACGGAACGAAAAGGUCUCUCUUAAUACGGGGGACUCAUGACGGUACCGUAAGAAUAAGCACCGGCUAACUACGUGCCAGCCGCCGCAGUAA
Molecule: ribosomal RNA, 496 nt
Filed under: uncultured bacterium
Lineage: Bacteria
Description: partial 16S ribosomal RNA
Rfam family: Bacterial small subunit ribosomal RNA
Source: RNAcentral